GAUGAACGCUGGCGGCGUGCCUAAUACAUGCAAGUCGAACGAGUUCUCGUUGAUGAUCGGUGCUUGCACCGAGAUUCAACAUGGAACGAGUGGCGGACGGGUGAGUAACACGUGGGUAACCUGCCCUUAAGUGGGGGAUAACAUUUGGAAACAGAUGCUAAUACCGCAUAGAUCCAAGAACCGCAUGGUUCUUGGCUGAAAGAUGGCGUAAGCUAUCGCUUUUGGAUGGACCCGCGGCGUAUUAGCUAGUUGGUGAGGUAAUGGCUCACCAAGGCGAUGAUACGUAGCCGAACUGAGAGGUUGAUCGGCCACAUUGGGACUGAGACACGGCCCAAACUCCUACGGGAGGCAGCAGUAGGGAAUCUUCCACAAUGGACGCAAGUCUGAUGGAGCAACGCCGCGUGAGUGAAGAAGGCUUUCGGGUCGUAAAACUCUGUUGUUGGAGAAGAAUGGUCGGCAGAGUAACUGUUGUCGGCGUGACGGUAUCCAACCAGAAAGCCACGGCUAACUACGUGCCAGCAGCCGCGGUAAUACGUAGGUGGCAAGCGUUAUCCGGAUUUAUUGGGCGUAAAGCGAGCGCAGGCGGUUUUUUAAGUCUGAUGUGAAAGCCCUCGGCUUAACCGAGGAAGCGCAUCGGAAACUGGGAAACUUGAGUGCAGAAGAGGACAGUGGAACUCCAUGUGUAGCGGUGAAAUGCGUAGAUAUAUGGAAGAACACCAGUGGCGAGGCGGCUGUCUGGUCUGUAACUGACGCUGAGGCUCGAAAGCAUGGGUAGCGAACAGGAUUAGAUACCCUGGUAGUCCAUGCCGUAAACGAUGAAUGCUAGGUGUUGGAGGGUUUCCGCCCUUCAGUGCCGCAGCUAACGCAUUAAGCAUUCCGCCUGGGGAGUACGACCGCAAGGUUGAAACUCAAAGGAAUUGACGGGGGCCCGCACAAGCGGUGGAGCAUGUGGUUUAAUUCGAAGCAACGCGAAGAACCUUACCAGGUCUUGACAUCUUUUGAUCACCUGAGAGAUCAGGUUUCCCCUUCGGGGGCAAAAUGACAGGUGGUGCAUGGUUGUCGUCAGCUCGUGUCGUGAGAUGUUGGGUUAAGUCCCGCAACGAGCGCAACCCUUAUGACUAGUUGCCAGCAUUUAGUUGGGCACUCUAGUAAGACUGCCGGUGACAAACCGGAGGAAGGUGGGGAUGACGUCAAAUCAUCAUGCCCCUUAUGACCUGGGCUACACACGUGCUACAAUGGAUGGUACAACGAGUUGCGAGACCGCGAGGUCAAGCUAAUCUCUUAAAGCCAUUCUCAGUUCGGACUGUAGGCUGCAACUCGCCUACACGAAGUCGGAAUCGCUAGUAAUCGCGGAUCAGCACGCCGCGGUGAAUACGUUCCCGGGCCUUGUACACACCGCCCGUCACACCAUGAGAGUUUGUAACACCCGAAGCCGGUGGCGUAACCCUUUUAGGGAGCGAGCCGUCUAAGGUGGGACAAAUGAUUAGGGUG
RNAcentral lists this ribosomal RNA (1491 nucleotides) under Lacticaseibacillus paracasei. Its description in RNAcentral is "bacterial SSU rRNA". It matches the Rfam family "Bacterial small subunit ribosomal RNA". Lineage: Bacteria; Bacillati; Bacillota; Bacilli; Lactobacillales; Lactobacillaceae. The record is from RNAcentral.